RNA transcript from Lolium rigidum, 2396 nucleotides. RefSeq lists it as uncharacterized. The transcript is spliced from 3 exons. NCBI's taxonomy places the organism in Eukaryota, Viridiplantae, Streptophyta, Magnoliopsida, Poales, Poaceae. The record is from RefSeq and is a predicted model, not a curated record.
UCUUUGCGUGAUGCCUGCAACGCGGCCUGCGGCUCUGCCGCCAUUAUGACCGAGACCCAGAACCAGACCUCGUUUUCGUUCUCGUUUCAUCCUCUUCGAGCUCAUCCCAGCUGCUGGAAUACUAGAAUAGCGCCGCCUCAAGAUCUUCUACCUGCUGCCGUUUCGUGCGCGACUUUGGUUUAGGCAGCUGUUCGUCGCACCGCGCUGGAUCACUGCUCGCUGUUCAUUCACCAGUGAUUCGUCAGGAGUACUACACCUUUCUUUGUUCGGCACGGGAGGGAGGAAGAAAGCCGACUGAACCUUUCCUAUCUCUCAGCACCCUCUCAAACCAACCGACCCCGUCCCAAUCUCCUGGCGGCGGCGCAGCGGCUGCGGUAACCGGGCGAGGAGACUAGCGGCGGCGAGCGGCCGGUAGCGCCGCGACGACGAGGUCAACACCCCGGGCGACCGCCUCCCCACCACCGGGAGAAGGAGAUGAAUGGGAAAGAGAUCCCCUUUUCCUCGCCCCUCGCCGGUGCUGGCCACUAUCACGCAUCCCGCCUCCGCAACAUGGAGGCUGACCUGCUGAUGCUCUCUCCUCCAGUGCAGGGGACGACGGGCUGCCGCUGCACACCAGUGAGUAGGGGUGGGGACGACGGGCUGCCGCUGCACACCAGAUCGAUACAAAAAUUGUCAGGUGAUAUCAUUCUAUACAUAUGUGCAUCUAUGGUGAUCAUUUGUUCUUCCGUUGUGUUCUUCUCAUUCAGAACUCUUAACUUUAAUUUUUUGGUUGGUUCUCUAGACAUGAGUGCAGAUCUGCGGAGGUUUAGAAGAGGAAGAAGCUAUGGUAGAAAAUUUAUUAAGAAGCUGCCAAAGGUUUCCUACCAGCCUCUUGCUUUUCAUGAUAAACCAGAGUAAAUAUCUUUCUUGAAUCAUGUUGUGGUGUAUCCACUCCCAUCAGUUUGUCUAAAUGUACCCAUUGUUAGUCUUUUGUAGUUCACAUGUCCAGUUUUCAUUCUAUAUUGCAGUUGAAAAAACCCAUCUGAUCGUGUGAUCAUUUGCUAUAUCAGCAAUCUAGAUGAGCCCAAAAUCAACCCUAUGCAGAGGCACAUGAUAUAUUUACUUAAUCUACAUGUUUAUUCACUAAGAGUUGUUUGAACAUUGUGUGACUAGAUUUGUUCACUGCACAUUCUUUAUUUGGAAACUCUGCAUUAACCUACUCUUACAACCUGAGCUGUACGAACCUCCACAGUGGGUAUUACUAGAAUUGGCCAUGAGGCAUUCUCUUGACAAGGAUAAGACACUUAAUUUCUUUUGACUGCAUUUUUGAAUUGUGUGCAUGUCAAUCAGGUGAUAAUCAUGCCUUUUAUUUGUUUGUAGCGAGAAUUUUUCACCAGUUUGAUUGUUUUUUGCAUCCACUCGGUUAAGAUCUCGUUUAAUUUUUUUUCCCAGAGUUCUUGAGGGACACACAGCUGGCCUAGAAGAUGGACCUUCAUGUAUGCCCCAUCUAAACCGCAUCUCUAAUUUAUAGUACCACACAACAGCUUUAAGCAAACAACCCUCGUGAGCUAGCCAAUCUUCAGAUGUAUUACCUAUCUAAUGCUUUGUAUAAAAUCUUGAGAUAUUAAAGUGAGUUAACUACUACUUCCUUAAUAACAAAUACAGUUGACUGUUCACAGUUCUGAUUUAUGCUCCAACUUAUGUUGGAAGGCACUCAAAUAUUAGGAGCCAAAAUGGAGCAAUUAUCUUGGACAUACUAGAAAUUCUUGGAGUCCAGCUGUUAUAUUGAAAGGUUGAUAUCCCAUCAAGAUCUGCUUUCUGCUUCUGCCCCUGAUGUUUCUCGGGGUGCUGUUGUUGCACUACUUAAUUUUUCCAUGGAAUCUUACUAUGCAUUGGGUGUUAAAUUGAGAUUUCCUCUUCGUGGGUUAAUAUCUUUUUCCUGAAGUUCAGUUAUGUACUUGGGCAGAUCUGCCACAUAAUACCUACUCUACAGUAGCACAAAAGUGUUGGAGAGUUGGUUCUUGCUAUUCAGUACCAUGUUUUAACACACCACUUUUUCCAUGGGGGCUACUAUGCAUUGGGUGUUGAAUUCCAUGCAGCCAAAGGUCUGUUCAUCAAUCUCAUGGCAUGAGCUCUUUAAUUGCUUCUUCGUAUCUGCCAUUGGAGUAACAUAGGUCAACAUACAUACAUAGCAUGUUCCGUACAGUUUUAUGUGGAGCCUUUCUCAUGUUCUCUAUCUUGUUUUAUAUAUAAUACAUUCUCUGUGUUUUACUGCAUGAGGAUCUCUUCAUGUUGUUCCUUUUGGUUGCUCUACACAGUUAUAUGUUAUUGAACACAACAGUUCUGGCAUCUACGUUGGAUUUAUGUGAAUUAUGUGUAGUCUAACUCACUUCAGCUAUAUAAAAGCUUUGUUUGUA